UAUUUAGCAGACUUUUCCCAAGGAAACAGCUUUGCCAUCUUGCGCCACCAAAAAAUCACUCAGAACGUCAAAAUGUAAUUUCCUGGCCCUAUUCAUCUGGAAAAAAAUAUAUUCCUACUGAUGGGUGGAGACGAUGAAGUCCAUGACCCUCUCACUCAGACCUUUGGGAACCUGAUAAAGCUUCAGGAAGUCACGUACGUUGUUGAGCAUCUCAUGGUAGCGGUUUGUGUUGGUGUACAUCUGCUGGAAGAUGGUGGUGACGUUUCCAAAGAUGGUUGCAUACAGCAAAGCUAAAGCAAAAGAUGAAGAACAGAGUCAGAGUAAAACUCACCACUGGAACGCCGGACAAUAUUUUCCAGAAAAGUGUUCUGCGGAGCCACCAGUCCUCUCUUGCCUCCAUGCAUUAUGAGAGACUCGGAGCUGCUCGGUGGUCGUGCUGAUGAUAACUACCCCCCUCAACUGUCUGCCCGACCGGAGCGCAGACCACGAGAGUCAAGUUAACCAGAAUUAAGAGGUACUUCCAGGCUGAGGUUUUAAAAAUAAAAGCCUCAUUGCCAAACUUUUUUUUAGUGUAAAUACAAAUCAAAGACUGUUCGAUGUGGAAUCUGAGGUAGAUGGUUUUAAUUAUCCCCAAACUGAUGGUCUCACUUAAAGAGUAACAGGAUAAGGUUAGUCACAAUACAUGCAGCCAGCGGUGGCCACAUCUUUUACUUAAGUGAAAGUAGCAAUACUACAGUAUAAAUAUACUCUGCUAUGAGUAAAAGUACUGCAUUCAAAAUCUUAGUUAAGUAAAAGUUCACACGUAUCAGCAUCAAAAUAUACUUCAUGUAUCAAAAGUGAAUGAACCACUUAUAUAUUAUUAUAUAAUAUAUUAUUAAAUUAUAAUUACUGAUGUAUUCAGAUGAUCAUCACAUUAAUGUUGCAGCUGGUAAAGGUGGAGCUCAUUUUAAUAACUUUAUAUAAUGAUGGGUGGUGUGACUUAUAAUAUUAUACUAUGACCUAUUUGCAAGUGUAGUUCAUUUAUGAAAAAUAUAUAAUAAUAAAAAACUAAGCAACUAGUAGCUAAAGCUUUAACAAUGAAUCAAGUGAAGUGAAAAGUACAAUAUUUUCCUCUGAAAUAUAGUGGAGUAGAAGUAUUGAGUAGCAUAAAAUGUAAAUACUCAAAGUACAAAUACCUCAAGAUUUUACUUGAGUACAUGUACUUAAUUACAUUUCACCAAUGCAUGUAGCAGAUAACUUGGAUGGAUCUUCAUCUGCGAAAUGAAGACAAGUCUUUAAUAUGUAUAAAUAUUACAUAAGAGUCACAUCAUCCUUUAUGAUGUUUAUAUAUAUAUUAAAAAAUCAGUCAAUGUUGUGCUUUUAUUUUGAAGGAACAUCCUCCAGCUCUCUGAUGUUAUUCUGGUAUUAUUGUCUUUGGUUUCUCAAUCCUCUAUCUGUACACUGCUUACCUUCAACUUCUCUUAUACGUUUUUCUAUGAAUUUAAAUGUUGUUGUUGCUUUUAAUAUGAAUCAUGAUUUGGAUAUUUAUAUGUCUGUGAUGUGGACCUACUUUUCACCAUCCAUAACUAACAAUAUGUGGCAAAAAGUUCAAAUGUUAUUUUAAAAAUCUAACUGAAAUUUCUUUGUAAUUAUGAAAAUAUCAAAUGUGUGUCUUCAUACAGCUUCAAUAUAUGGUAUUUUGAAUUUAAAAAAAGAAUUGGACUAUUUUAAGAAAGUAACUGAGAACAAGAAGUACAAUUUUGAGGUGUGGGUAUUUGAUUAUUUCCAUUUUUGUUACUCUAUACUAAUUCCCUUCUUCAUUUCAAUGAUUGAUAUUGUGCUUUUUUAUUUCCACAAGAUUUAUAUGACAACUGAAGUUAAUUUAUGGAUGAAGAGGCUACAUACAAACCAUAUGUACUUCAUAUAAUAUAAUGUUAUGCUAAAGAUUCAACUACCCAACAGUAGUAGUAGUUACAACAGCUCACAUUGACCAGCAAUAAAUGUUUCAAGUUAAUAAGAAUCCAAUAAAACAAUAUGAUUUGGUCCAUGUUGAUUGAAGGACUUUUACUUGUAAUUGGGUGUUUUACAUCAUAGUAUUUUCAUUUAUUUUAAGUAUUGAACAGAAUACUUGAUUGACCACUGGCCAUCCACUUGUAUGUACGUACAGUGGUGGAAGAAUUACUGAAACAUUUUACUUAGACUAUAAUACUAGAUUGUAAAAAGUCCUGCAUUCAACUUACUAAACUUACUUCAGUAAAAAAUACAAAAGUAUUCACCUCGAAUAUACUUAACGUACCAAAAGUAAACAAAAACUCUCAUCAUGCACAAUGGCCCAUUUCAGAAUAAUGUGUUAUUUGAUUGUAACUAUUAAUUUAUUCAAGUGUAAUUAUUGCAAUUGGUAAAGAUGGAGCAUUACUUUUACAUACUGCUAAGUAGCUUAACCUAUAAUAAUGUAUAUAUAAUAGGGUAUUGUUUUAUUUUGUAUUUGUAUCCACAUAUCUGUAAAGUAACAAAUAACUUAAGGUGUCAAAUAAAUGUUAUGUGAAAGUACAAUCUUACAAUAUUUCCCUCUGAGAUAAGAUAAGAUAAGAUAUGACUUUAUCCCACAGUGGGGAAA
Centropristis striata (black sea bass) is the source of this 2596-nucleotide long non-coding RNA. RefSeq lists it as uncharacterized. The record is from RefSeq and is a predicted model, not a curated record. The transcript is spliced from 3 exons. NCBI's taxonomy places the organism in Eukaryota, Metazoa, Chordata, Actinopteri, Perciformes, Serranidae.